AAAAUUCAUAUGGCAGAAGGAGCAAAUGAUGUCAUUGACAAGGAAGCAAUUGAAUCCCUUUUUUCAUUCAAGUCCAAAGUAGAAAAGAAUAGUGGAAGAGAACCAAUUUGAUGUGGUGGUGAAGGUGCCAGGCUAAACCAGGAAAAUUUACUUGCGUAUUUGCACCUCCAGAUUUCAACUCUCUUUCUGUUACCUAAGAAACAAAUCAAAUAAGCAAAACAUAAAUAUCGGGCAGGAAUAUAGAAAUUACCAUGACAACAAGCACUUUUAAUAAUCAAGUAUUGCUCAAUGAAGAAUGGCCUUGUGAAGAAAGCAUCAAGUAGAUACUGAUGAAUAAGAGCAAGACCGAGGAUACGACCACUAAAUCGGAACCUGAACCAAAAACAAACAUAAUGAGUUUAAUUUACAGCUCCACAAUUUUCUGAUGGUCAUUCUUCCAAGUCCUAAUCAGGUCUGAUCUUGCUAACAUUUUGAGAUUGGCCACAUUCUGGUGAUUUUCUACAAAUGCUGACAUGGGGCUGAUCUGUACAGUGUAAGUAUCAUUGGCUGAAUACUCAAACAGGCCAUAAUAAGGAUUGAAAAGCUCCUGAGAAAGAAGGAAGAAGAAUUCCCGGGAUGGGCCACUGUAAUCCAAGCUGGAAAAAAAAAAUCCACAUGGAAUGGAUCUUACAUACCUGUUUCAUGACAAAUUGCUGGUUCUCCUCUUUAUCCAUGUUAAACUGUUAGACAUUUUUUUGAGGUUUUGUGAAUGGAUUUUAAUUUUGAUUGAGAAUUAAUGCUGCAAAUGUACCUCUUUCAAAUUGCUUUGAAAUCCAAAGUACCGUAUAUACUCGAAUAUAAGCCGAUCCGAGUAUAAGCCGAGGUCCCCAAUUUUACCCCAAAAACUGGGGUAAACUGGGGACUCGAGUAUAAGCCGAGGGUGGGAAAUGAGGCACCUACCGGUUGGGGAAACCCUCCCUCCCUCAGCUGAGAAGGCUGGCGGCUCCCCGCCCCGCCCUCUCACUGCACCGGCAGGGCUUCCGUCCGGUAAAAUGUGAAAAAAAGAAAAAAAAAAACUCGAGUAUAAGCCGUAUAUACUCGAGUAUAAGCCGAGGGGCUUUAAAAAAAAACAAAAACUCGAGUAUAAGCCGUAUAGACCCGAGUAUAAGCCGAGGGGAAGUUUUUCAGCACAAAAAACGUGCUGAAAAACUCGGCUUAUACUCGAGUAUAUACGGUAAAUAUAAAGUUAUUUAAAAUGCAACUUAAAAUUAAGUUGCAUUUCAUAUAUUCAUUUACCAAAUUACUAUUUUGAUUUUUUUUUUACCUUUACCUACUGGAAGGGUGUGGAGGGUCAGCAGAGAGAUACCGCUGUCCUCCAAAAUCUUUUUCCUAAUAGUCAUUGCAUUAUAACAAAAAAAAAACCUCUGAAAUUUAUGUAGCAGCAAAAAUAGUUUCCUAAAUAAAUAAAGAAAAAUUGUUAUAAACAUACAAAAAAUAAAUAUCACUCAACAUUUGUUGUUUUUACUUUGGAGAUAUUAUUUUGAAUUCUUGCAUAAUUUAUUGCU
Molecule: long non-coding RNA, 1544 nt
Organism: Ahaetulla prasina
Lineage: Eukaryota; Metazoa; Chordata; Lepidosauria; Squamata; Colubridae
Exons: 6
Source: RefSeq, a predicted model, not a curated record